This 462-nucleotide ribosomal RNA is filed under the name uncultured bacterium. Its description in RNAcentral is "partial 16S ribosomal RNA". It matches the Rfam family "Bacterial small subunit ribosomal RNA", at positions 28 to 505 of the family's 1533-position model. The record is from RNAcentral.
GACGAACGCUGGCGGCGUGCUUAACACAUGCAAGUCGAGCGGAAAGGCCCUUUCGGGGGUACUCGAGCGGCGAACGGGUGAGUAACACGUGAGUAAUCUGCCCUUCACUUGGGGAUAACCUCCGGAAACGGUGGCUAAUACCCGAUACGACCAUUCCUCGCAUGAGGUGGUGGUGGAAAGUUUUUCGGUGGGGGAUGUGCUCGCGGCCUAUCAGCUUGUUGGUGGGGUAAUGGCCUACCAAGGCUUCGACGGGUAGCCGGCCUGAGAGGGUGACCGGCCACACUGGGACUGAGACACGGCCCAGACUCCUACGGGAGGCAGCAGUGGGGAAUAUUGGACAAUGGGCGGAAGCCUGAUCCAGCAACGCCGCGUGAGGGAUGACGGCCUUCGGGUUGUAAACCUCUUUCACCUGUGACGAAGCGAAAGUGACGGUAGCAGGAGAAGAAGCACCGGCCAACUACG